GUCGGGAAUUUUGGGCAAUGGGCGAAAGCCUGACCCAGCAACGCCGCGUGAGGGAUGAAGGCCCUCGGGUCGUAAACCUCUGUCGGGAGGGGAGAACGGUCGCGAUUCGAAUAGACUCGCGGCCUGACGGUACCUCCAAAGGAAGCACCGGCUAACUCCGUGCCAGCAGCCGCGGUAAUACGGAGGGUGCAAGCGUUGUUCGGAAUCAUUGGGCGUAAAGCGCGUGUAGGCGGCUUGGCAAGUCGGGUGUGAAAUCCCGGGGCCCAACCCCGGAACUGCACUCGAAACUGCCUCGCUUGAGUCCCGGAGAGGAAGGCGGAAUUCCCGGUGUAGAGGUGAAAUUCGUAGAUAUCGGGAGGAACACCGGCGGCGAAGGCGGCCUUCUGGACGGUGACUGACGCUGAGACGCGAAAGCGUGGGGAGCAAACAGGAUUAGAUACCCCAGUAGUCC
RNAcentral lists this ribosomal RNA (451 nucleotides) under uncultured bacterium. RNAcentral's name for it is "bacterial SSU rRNA". It matches the Rfam family "Bacterial small subunit ribosomal RNA", at positions 354 to 796 of the family's 1533-position model. The record is from RNAcentral.